CCGUGCUAGGCGGGGAGCUAGCGGUGCCCUGUAACUCACAAUCCGCUCUAGUGAGGCUUAAUUCCAGUCCUAGGUUUAUAGUAGUAAGGUUUGAGCUUAUACAAGUAGCGUUGAAAGUUGGGUCUUGUGCGGCAAAGAAUUACGAACCCCGUCAGGUCCGAGAGGAAGCAGCGGUAAGUAAAAAUCUUUGGGUGCCAUAAGGAAACCUGGCUGGAGCCAACUGUAUUAGUGGCACUUGUUAUUAUAUAUCGAAGACUGGUGCACGG
RNAcentral lists this signal recognition particle RNA (266 nucleotides) under Actinomycetes bacterium. RNAcentral's name for it is "signal recognition particle sRNA large type". It matches the Rfam family "Bacterial large signal recognition particle RNA". From Rfam's summary of the family: The signal recognition particle (SRP) is a universally conserved ribonucleoprotein involved in the co-translational targeting of proteins to membranes. Archaeal SRP consists of a 7S RNA and homologues of the eukaryotic SRP19 and SRP54 proteins. The record is from RNAcentral. RNAcentral also lists the same sequence under 1 other name. Lineage: Bacteria; Bacillati; Actinomycetota; Actinomycetes.